AAUCUUGCGCAAUGGGCGAAAGCCUGACGCAGCGACGCCGCGUGAGUGAUGAAGGCCUUCGGGUUGUAAAGCUCUUUUGGCGGGGACGAUGAUGACGGUACCCGCAGAAUAAGCCCCGGCUAACUUCGUGCCAGCAGCCGCGGUAAGACGAAGGGGGCUAGCGUUGUUCGGAAUUACUGGGCGUAAAGCGCGUGUAGGCGGUUGUUCAAGUCAGGUGUGAAAGCCUUGGGCUCAACUCAAGAAAUGCACUUGAUACUGGAUGACUAGAGGACCGGAGAGGAUAGUGGAAUUCCCAGUGUAGUGGUGAAAUACGUAGAGAUUGGGAAGAACACCAGUGGCGAAGGCGGCUAUCUGGACGGUUUCUGACGCUAAGACGCGAAAGCGUGGGGAGCAAAC
RNAcentral lists this ribosomal RNA (396 nucleotides) under uncultured bacterium. RNAcentral describes it as "bacterial SSU rRNA". It matches the Rfam family "Bacterial small subunit ribosomal RNA", at positions 360 to 773 of the family's 1533-position model. The record is from RNAcentral.